CAGCCAUGCCGCGUGAGUGAUGAAGGCCCUAGGGUCGUAAAGCUCUUUCGCCUGUGAAGAUAAUGACGGUAGCAGGUAAAGAAACCCCGGCUAACUCCGUGCCAGCAGCCGCGGUAAUACGGAGGGGGUUAGCGUUGUUCGGAAUUACUGGGCGUAAAGCGCACGUAGGCGGAUCGGAAAGUUGGGGGUGAAAUCCCGGGGCUCAACCCCGGAACUGCCUCCAAAACUAUCGGUCUAGAGUUCGAGAGAGGUGAGUGGAAUUCCGAGUGUAGAGGUGAAAUUCGUAGAUAUUCGGAGGAACACCAGUGGCGAAGGCGGCUCACUGGCUCGAUACUGACGCUGAGGUGCGAAAGUGUGGGGAGCAAACAGGAUUAGAUACCCUGGUAGUCCACACCGUAAACGAUGAAUGCCAGUCGUCGGGUAGCAUGCUAUUCGGUGACACACCUAACGGAUUAAGCAU
RNAcentral lists this ribosomal RNA (460 nucleotides) under Ruegeria sp. HDEN9. Its description in RNAcentral is "bacterial SSU rRNA". It matches the Rfam family "Bacterial small subunit ribosomal RNA", at positions 389 to 867 of the family's 1533-position model. Lineage: Bacteria; Pseudomonadati; Pseudomonadota; Alphaproteobacteria; Rhodobacterales; Roseobacteraceae. The record is from RNAcentral.